Long non-coding RNA from Vombatus ursinus (common wombat), 1930 nucleotides. RefSeq lists it as uncharacterized. Lineage: Eukaryota; Metazoa; Chordata; Mammalia; Diprotodontia; Vombatidae. The transcript has 14 exons. The record is from RefSeq and is a predicted model, not a curated record.
GGACCCAGCCCAGAGGGAUGGGGGCGCCCAGGAGCAGCAGGCCCCUCGGGGUGGCCAGGGUGGGCAGAAAUGGAAGGAUGUGUCGAAUCAGCUCUCGCCCCGGGUGAGAGGUACAUCACCCAGCCAGCCUCCCAGAGCCCACCCAGAGCCUCCCCUGCAGAGAUCUCUUUGGAUGAAAGAUGCAUGCUGACUGUAGGUGCUAAUGCAUCUGAGAGGACUGAAAGAUAUGCUUCAUCACUGCUACCUAGUGUUUCUGCAAGGGCAUUGACACUCAAGAUUUUUAAAGGCAUAGUAUAUUUUUGCAACUAAAAGUGUAUUAUCUCUUGGCCCUUGUCCCUGUGCUGAAUGAAAUUCGGAUGAGGAUGGGAUCUGACCUGUGGAUCAGAAGUUUGUCAAAGCCUUGCUCUAAGAACACUCCUUUUUAAGACUAUUACUAUAUCUUGGUAUAUACGUGCCCAUGUGAUGGUAAUCCUUAUACUUCCUUCACAUGGAGGGUGUGAAGAAUUUACAGUUGGGUCUUUGCAAAGCAGGCUUGUGACACUUGCCACCCAGGGUGUCAGUAAAGGCGAGUUACCCUUCCUGGAAGAACUUUGAAUGAGAUGCAAAGAGACCCUGGGAACUUGACCAGUCAAACUUAGAAGUAUGAAGAGAAUGUAGUGGGAGGAAGUGGAGGCCGUGAGUCAGCAUGAGUCAUUCUGUUCCAAUGAGAAUGAAGGCUGACUGAGAGGCAUCCUGUUCUCAAGGAGGUGGAGCAACCAACUUCUCCUUGGUGAGGAAACCAAGGCCGAGAGGGAAGCAGUAUCCAUUGUAACAUCAAACAACUUUCUAAAAAGGAUUCUUCCAGAAAUGGCUUCCUAGCAUCCUUCACAAGGAGAGAGACACCAUCUGCCCUGUAGCAUCCUCCACAUGGAGGUGCUUUGUGAGUCAUUUGAAACAACAAAAAGCCCAUAAUUGUCUGUAUCCAGUGCCAGAGGUCAAGCCAAUUCAACUAGCAUUUAUUAAGCACCUACUAUGUGCCAGCCACUGUGCUAAGUGCCUGGGAUGCAAGAAAGACAAAAACAAUCCCUGCUCUCAAGGAACUGAAAAUCUCAUGGGGAAGACGGCUUGCCAGACCAUGUUUCUGAACUUUAAAGAAUAAAUUAAAAGUAGAUGCCAAAUGGGGUAGUGAUAUCCCACAAUCCUCCCCUGUCUGUGGAAGAGCCUCAGAUCAGGAGAAUAGCAUCACAUGGGGAAAAGUUUGGGAAGCCUUGAUGCAAAGAGCUGGACCCAUGAGACAUGGCCAGUCACCAGGACUCCAAGAAGGCCUGCCUUGGCUAGCAGCCAGGAAGAAACAGAGACUCAUCAUCUACUCUGCUACUUCAAGUACUUGCUGCCUACCCCUCUUACUCAAGGAAUGAUGUUUGAGUAAUAUUAUCAUUGCGAUUGUGAAGGGCAUGACCAUACCCAUGAUUCUGAGAUGAGGAACUGAGGCAUACAAGAAUUACUUUGACGAGUGAAAUGGACAUCUUUGAAUGAUCCAGGAGCCCAGUUCAUUGAAGUUCCCUUAACCCUAGCUCCCCCUGGCCCCGAGAAUGAACCCUCUGGGGAGACUCCAGGAAGACAGCCUGAUGGGAGGCACAUUCAGUGACCCCCGACAGAAGCCAGUAAAACCGGUUUUCCAGGCCAUCUUCUGACUGGCGAUGCAUUAACCAUAGCAGGAGCAGAAGUCUCAUUCUGAUGAGUGUUCAGAAGUUCAUGGGUAUGACCUUGGUUGGCCUCAUUACAUGGAGAAAGGCAGUUAGAACAUUCCACAAUCAAGCUUGUCAGAAACCCUGCUUAAUCCUAAACAUUUCUAACAUAUAGAAGAAUUACAGGAACACUGGAUCCUCUAAGGGGCAAAAGCGAAUACAAUAGCUGUUGGCACUGCUGAAACUUGACAAUCCAAAAAGAA